UUUAAAGUCUAAUCUGCCCAAUGAGGGGUUAAAUGGCCGCGGUAUUUUGACCGUGCAAAGGUAGCAUAAUAAUUAGUUUUUUAAUUGAAAGCUGGAAUGAAUGAUUGAACGAGAAAAUAGCUGUCUCUAUUUAAUUUUUAUAGAAUUUUAUUUUUAAGUAAGAAAGCUUAAAUAAUUUUAAAAGACGAGAAGACCCUAUAGAGUUUUAUAAUUUGAUUUAUUUUGGUUUUAUAGAAUAUUUUUAUUAAUUUUAAUUAAAUUAUUUUGUUGGGGUGAUGGAAAAAUUUAGUUAACUUUUUUUUGAGAAUUUCAUUUAUUUAUGAAUUAUUGAUCCAUUAUUAGUGAUUAUAAGAUAAAAUUACCUUAGGGAUAACAGCGUAAUUUUUUUUUAGAGUUCUUAUCGAAAGGAGAGAUUGCGACCUCGAUGUUGGAUUAAAAUAAAUAUUUGGUGUAGGGGCUAAAUAAUUAGGUCUGUUCGACCUUUAAAAUUUUACA
RNAcentral lists this ribosomal RNA (495 nucleotides) under Pseudotrochalus sp. DA1669. Its description in RNAcentral is "partial 16S large subunit ribosomal RNA". It matches the Rfam family "Bacterial large subunit ribosomal RNA", at positions 1844 to 2600 of the family's 2925-position model. The record is from RNAcentral. Lineage: Eukaryota; Metazoa; Arthropoda; Insecta; Coleoptera; Scarabaeidae.